This is a long non-coding RNA of Ictalurus furcatus (blue catfish), 3075 nucleotides long. RefSeq lists it as uncharacterized. The record is from RefSeq and is a predicted model, not a curated record. The transcript has 3 exons. Lineage: Eukaryota; Metazoa; Chordata; Actinopteri; Siluriformes; Ictaluridae.
AAGGACAGCAGUUUGCCCACCGUGGCCCCAGCUCGGGUCUGCCAUUCCUCCAGCAGCUUCCGGGUGGGAUUCUCUCUCUUCUCGUAGUUUUUAAUCUCCAGGGUCACGGGGAACUAUCCCAGGGAGCAUCGGGCACAAGGCGGGGUACACCCUGGACAGGUUGCCAGUCCAUCGCAGGGCACAAUCACAUACACACUCACACACCCAUUCAUACACUACGGACACUUUAGACACGCCAAUCAGCCUACCAUGCAUGUCUUUGGACUGGGGGAGGAAACCAGAGUACCCGGAGGAAACCCCUGCAGCACGGGGAGAACAUGCAAACUCCACACACACAUGGCCCUGGCGGGACUCAGAAAUGAACAUCAUCUGCGUCAGUCAGUUAGGCGGCACACCAGGAACUUGACAGGCGAGAUUCCCGGAUGAAUGAACAGCCUCUGAUUUGGCCACACCCGCGCUGAUCCAUGGGAUAUGUAGUUGUUUUUUGUUUGUUUGUUUUUAGUUAAAGGACUACAAACAAAAAAUUAGAUUUCUCCGUCUUGUGCCAGUUUACUUUCUGUAGGCCUCAUUCUUCUCUCUUGAAAAUGCAAGCUUUCUUUUUUUCAUUUCUGGCCCCUUACAAUACUUAAAACUUAGACGCCUUGUGUAGUCAACUCCAUUUCGCCCCUGGUUGUGACCUUCUUGCUUACAUUUUCAAAAAGUAUCAAAAUCUGGUAUAUUCCAUCCAUCCCUCCACCCAUCCAUUUUCCAUACCGCUUAUCCUACACAGGGAGCCUGGAGCCUAUCCCAGGGAUCUUGGGGUACAUGGCUGAGGACACCCUGGACGGAGUGCCAACCCAUCACAGGGCACAAUCGCAUAUCCAUUCACACACUACGGACAAUUUGGAAAUGCCAAUCAACCUACAUGCAUGUCUUUAGAAUGUGUGAGGAAACUGGAGUACCCAGAGGAAACCACAGAAGCAUGGGGAGAACAUGCAAACUUCAUGCACACAAGACGGAGGUUGGAAUCAAACCACUAAGCCACCGUGCAUCCAUCCCCCCCCCCCCUCCCCCCUCAGUAUAUUCAUAAAGUCUAAAUAUAAUUUUACAUUGAACUGAUUCAUCUUGGAAAGUUACUGUUCAUGAAAUGAAUCUGUUUACACUUAUUUUUUACCAAAACUGAAGAAUUUUCCUGAAUGAUGAAGCACAAAAUGGCGUAUUUUUCAUCACAGCCCUUUAGGUUCUGCCUAUAAACACGUACUGUUCUACUCGACUCAUAAAGAAGCCCUUUAUAAAAUACACUGUUAUUUAACAAGUCAAGUGAAAUAUAGCCCUGAGGUCUAACCUCCAUUCAAAAAAAAAAAACCCAGAAGCAUUUAUUCUUUUAAAUAAAUAUAAAUUCUCUUAUUUUACAUCACAUCCAAUACAGGAAUAGAUUAAGCAUUAACAUGCUUCUUCUCUUCUCUUUUCUUGUAAAUACAGACCAGAAAUAGGCUGCCACAACUUCUCACUUCUCUAAACCUGCCUGCAGAGAGACAGAGACAGAGACAGAGAGAGAGACAGACAGAGAGAGAGAGAGAGGGACAGAAAGAGAGACAGACAGACAGAAAGAGAGAGACAGACAGACAGAAAGAGAGAGACAGACAGACAGACAGAGAGACAGAGAGAGAGACAGACAGAGAGAGAGAGAGGGACAGAAAGAGAGACAGACAGACAGAGAGAGACAGACAGAAAGAGAAAGUGCUCAUUCUCUGGCACUAAAUGGUGUUCUGCUGUUCCACACUUUCACAAUUUCAUCUCAAAACACACAAGCAUAAUUAAUAAUAAAAAAAGAGAACAAACUGUAUUUCUUUCAAAUACACAGCCUCGAGGCUUACUGUAAAUAUUACAUCACUAAAGUUAAAUGAAGUCUUCUGGGACGUGUCCUGCAACUAUGAUUAGUGAAAACUAAAAGGAAGUGACUGAAAGUAGGAUGUUGGGGCACCGUGGCUCAGUGGCUGGCAUGUUUGCCAAACACCUCUAAAAAAACUCUGUUGGGGAGGUAAUUAAGUAAGAAAAGCACAAACAACAGCAGAUUAUUAUAAUUUUUUUUUUUAAAUAACAUGCUAAUAAUUACACUAAUCAUCUCAUUCAUCAUCAUAGUAUAAAUCAAGGAAGAACGGAGCUCUGAGGGAAGUGGAAAAAAUCCACACGCUCUUCUCAACUGAAGUAUUCGCUUUCCAUUUUUCAGUCAUAAGAUUUCCACAGCUGUUCAAAUUUCCCCUCAAAUAAUAACGUUUAACACAGCGUACUGUGUGUCAUGGGUUAAAUCACUUGACCUGUAAUAGCAUUCUGUUCAACAUCACAAUAAAAAACGUAAAAACGUACCGAAUCACAACAUGUCGCAUUAUUAUUUCCAUACUGCAGUUUGUCAAGAAAAGAAAGAAAGGAUAAAAUAUGAAGUCUCCCAUCGUCUGAAGUUCAAUAAAUUACAAACCACUUGCUUAUUUAUUUAUUUUUAAAUCUUUCCUUUAUUUAUUCCAAUGUACAAAAUCACUUUCAGAAUAAAUGUUUUCUGGUUUUAUCAUAAAGGCAAUAAAGAAUUGUUCAUUCCUAGCCUCCUUCAAAAACCUUGGAGGUCAUUUCUUCAUUUACUCAGAAAAAAAACAAAACAAAAAUCCAGCUCUACAAGUUCCGGUAAUAUCAUGACUUAAGUAUUUGGAAUAUAAUAAAACAUCUUGUAAAAAGUGCAGUACAAUCUGUACAAUGCUUAUGGAAAACGUAGACACCCUUUUAUGAGGUUCGGUUCAGAUUUUCCAAUCUGGCACUCAGUCAAACGGUUUAAGUGGCAGAAUUUUAACACUGUUUUCUAAAGCAAACCUCAGAUACAUCCACGUUUCUCUUCCUUCUGGUUCCUUCCUAACGUGUGUAAGGCACAGACGUGCGCACUGGUGAUACUGUACCACGUCGUCGGAGUGUAUCAGGUGUUUCAUACCUGUCCUGGUACAUCAUCAAUUACUUACAUCAUUAUUAUUAUUAUUACUUUUUUACAUUAAAGGUCAAGUUUGUCGUGUUGAAAAGUGCCUCUAUAUCUGUAAUAAUCACACAAAUGAAAAC